Molecule: transfer RNA, 65 nt
Filed under: Histampica haimaensis
Lineage: Eukaryota; Metazoa; Echinodermata; Ophiuroidea; Amphilepidida; Ophiactidae
Also listed under: 1 other name
Description: Histampica sp. h LQ-2021 tRNA-Thr
Source: RNAcentral
GCCUUGGAAGCUAGCAGCAGCUUAUUUUGUAAUUAAGUAGAGGUCAGAAAUCCUGGCUCAAGGUU